This 497-nucleotide ribosomal RNA is filed under the name uncultured bacterium. Its description in RNAcentral is "partial 16S ribosomal RNA". It matches the Rfam family "Bacterial small subunit ribosomal RNA", at positions 28 to 507 of the family's 1533-position model. The record is from RNAcentral.
GAUGAACGCUGGCGGCGUGCCUAAUACAUGCAAGUCGAGCGAACGGACGAGAAGCUUGCUUCUCUGAUGUUAGCGGCGGACGGGUGAGUAACACGUGGAUAACCUACCUAUAAGACUGGGAUAACUUCGGGAAACCGUAGCUAAUACCGGAUAAUAUUUUGAACCGCAUGGUUCAAAAGUGAAAGACGGUCUUGCUGCCACUUAUAGAUGGAUCCGCGCUGCAUUAGCUAGUUGGUAAGGUAACGGCUUACCAAGGCAACGAUGCAUAGCCGACCUGAGAGGGUGAUCGGCCACACUGGAACUGAGACACGGUCCAGACUCCUACGGGAGGCAGCAGUAGGAAAUCUUCCGCAAUGGGCGAAAGCCUGACGGAGCAACGCCGCGUGAGUGAUGAAGGUCUUCGGAUCGUAAAACUCUGUUAUUAGGGAAGAACAUAUGUGUAAGUAACUGUGCACAUCUUGACGGUACCUAAUCAGAAAGCCACGGCUAACUACGUG